RNAcentral lists this ribosomal RNA (502 nucleotides) under uncultured bacterium. Its description in RNAcentral is "bacterial SSU rRNA". It matches the Rfam family "Bacterial small subunit ribosomal RNA", at positions 29 to 524 of the family's 1533-position model. The record is from RNAcentral.
AACGAACGCUGGCGGCGCGCCUAAUACAUGCAAGUCGAGCGAGAAGGUGUAGCAAUACACUUGUAAAGCGGCGAACGGGUGAGGAAUGCAUGGGUAACCUACCCUCGAGUGGGGAAUAACUAGCCGAAAGGUUAGCUAAUACCGCAUACGUUUCCGGAACUUCGGUUUCGGAAAGAAAGCAAUACCGUGGGUAUUGCGCUCCUGGAUGGGCUCAUGUCCUAUCAGCUUGUUGGUGAGGUAACGGCUCACCAAGGCUUCGACGGGUAGCUGGUCUGAGAGGACGAUCAGCCACACUGGCACUGCGACACGGGCCAGACUCCUACGGGAGCAGCAGUAAGGAAUAUUGCGCAAUGGACGAAAGUCUGACGCAGCGACGCCGCGUGGGGGGACGAAGGUCUUCGGAUUGUAAACCCCUUUCGGGAGGGAAGAUGGAGUGGGUAACCACUUGGACGGUACCUCCAGAAGCAGCCACGGCUAACUUCGUGCCAGCAGCCGCGGUAAU